GACAACGAUGGAUAGGGGUUCUGAGAGGAAGGUCCCCCACAUUGGAACUGAGACACGGUCCAAACUCCUACGGGAGGCAGCAGUGAGGAAUAUUGGUCAAUGGACGAGAGUCUGAACCAGCCAAGUAGCGUGAAGGAUGACUGCCCUAUGGGUUGUAAACUUCUUUUAUAUGGGAAUAAAACGUUCCACGUGUGGAAUUUUGUAUGUACCAUAUGAAUAAGGAUCGGCUAACUCCGUGCCAGCAGCCGCGGUAAUACGGAGGAUCCGAGCGUUAUCCGGAUUUAUUGGGUUUAAAGGGAGCGUAGGUGGAUUGUUAAGUCAGUUGUGAAAGUUUGCGGCUCAACCGUAAAAUUGCAGUUGAAACUGGCAGUCUUGAGUACAGUAGAGGUGGGCGGAAUUCGUGGUGUAGCGGUGAAAUGCUUAGAUAUCACGAAGAACUCCGAUUGCGAAGGCAGCUCACUGGACUGCAACUGACACUGAGGCUCGAAAGUGUGGGUAUCAAACAGGAUUAGAUACCCUGGUAGUCCACACA
This 532-nucleotide ribosomal RNA is filed under the name uncultured bacterium. RNAcentral's name for it is "bacterial SSU rRNA". It matches the Rfam family "Bacterial small subunit ribosomal RNA", at positions 272 to 801 of the family's 1533-position model. The record is from RNAcentral.